Molecule: transfer RNA, 69 nt
Filed under: Chiloscyllium plagiosum (whitespotted bambooshark)
Lineage: Eukaryota; Metazoa; Chordata; Chondrichthyes; Orectolobiformes; Hemiscylliidae
Also listed under: 1 other name
Description: tRNA-Met
Rfam family: tRNA
About the family: Transfer RNA (tRNA) molecules are approximately 80 nucleotides in length.
Source: RNAcentral
AGUAAAGUCAGCUAAAUAAGCUCUUGGGCCCAUACCCCAAUUAUGUUGGUUAAAAUCCUUCCUUUACUA